UAGCACCCGUGAUGCCUCUGUGCUCCUGG
This 29-nucleotide non-coding RNA is filed under the name Mus musculus (house mouse). The record is from RNAcentral. Lineage: Eukaryota; Metazoa; Chordata; Mammalia; Rodentia; Muridae.